This 71-nucleotide transfer RNA is filed under the name Phrynosoma platyrhinos (Desert horned lizard). RNAcentral describes it as "tRNA-OTHER". Lineage: Eukaryota; Metazoa; Chordata; Lepidosauria; Squamata; Phrynosomatidae. The record is from RNAcentral.
GCCAGCAUGGCACAGUGGUUUCAGUGUUGGACUACAACUCUGGAGACCAGGGUUCGAUCCCUGCCUCGGCC